CAAACAUCCAGCCCCCUUCAUUCAAGUCUGACAAUGAGACCAGGGCUGAGCCAGAGUCCCAGGCUCUCCCAGCGAGGCAAGGGCUGCAGGGAAAGAACAGAGGGAGCAGGAGAGAGGGCUGAGCUGCGGAGGGGGUAAGGGAACUGUCCAGUAACCAGACACCUGCUGUCCGCUGAGCUCCCACACAAAGCCCUUCCUGGGACUUGACACACCGUUCACCCCCAGCACAAGAGCAGAGUCACGCGUUGUGGUGGUGCUCGUUUCAGAAACAACAACAACAACAACAACAAAUACCAUCACGACAGAGAGCCCAUCAAACCCUCCGAGAGACCUGAGGAUAAACCCUAGUAAACUAGCACGUGAUUGUCUUUAACCUCCAGCAUAAUAAGGUGCCUCCGUAAGGAAACCGUCAAGGGCAAUUUACUCACCCUUGGAAGGGAUCACCGUGGUGAAAACUUCUAUAUUUUCAUCACUGCAGCUGUAAAUCUGAUGCAUCGUUUCAGCCUCCUCUCCCCCAAAGUGCCGGGAACCGGAAGCCUCUCCCUGAACCCCUAGUCUCGAGCUUUCCUAAUCCAGUCUGGCUCAGGGAUCAUUGUGCAGAUCCACAAAAGACAGGCUGCUGCUGUGAUCUCAUCUCAUUCCAGAGUCUUCACUGCAACAUUUUCUAAUCCCAUCUGUCUUUUUUUUUUUUUUUAUGAAUCCUAUUAUUGUAAACCUUUGAUUGAGCGUGGAGGCUUCAGUCCCCUCCCAGCCAGCAUGUAUUUAACAUUUUUGUUUUGCCGUGUCUGCCGCAGUGAUUUUGGAAGUCUUUUGUGAAGUAACGAUGAAGUGAAAUCGCCGACUUGGUUAGAGAUUUGGAGCUCGGCUGAAGGAAACGUGAAUUUUCGUAUCAGCAAUUACCCUUUUCAUUUCAGAAAUGAAGGGGUGCUUUUCCCCCCCUCCUCCAGAAGAACUGGAUAUUCAGUAAUUUGUCGUGUGUUAAUUUGGCUUCCUUCUAAGUUUCUAUUUUAAACAAAAGGACUGUUUCUCUAGAGCAUUUUCGCCUCAUGCCAGUGCAUGAGAGGCUGACAUUUCUAGAGAGCAGUGUACUUAGCAUCUCCUUGUAUAACCCUUCAGGUGCUUGCAGAGACAUUGUAACACGCAGCGCCCUGACAUUCAAGGUGGUACAGAAGAUUAGAUUUACAAGAAGAUUACACUGUAUUGUCCUAAAUAUCCUAAUGUAUAUUAUCCUAUAUAUUCUAUUACCCUGUAUUUAUGUAGAAUAAUAUAUACCCUAUAUUUUGUCUUAUAUAUUCUAAGUAUACACACAGAAAUAAGGUAUGUCUGAAAUGUAUUACGUAUAUUAUGUCAAACCCACUGUCUUUCAUUAUACCAAGACAGAUUUAUUUCUUCGUAUUGAUAGCAAUUAUGUAUUCAUAUUGAUAAUGAUAGAUGGCAUUUAUUAACUGCUUGCUAAGAAGCAUGAUGUGUAAUGUUAUUUAAUGUCUAGAGCCACCCAAUAAGACUAGCCACUAUUUUUGCCAUUUCAUAGGUGAGGAAACUGAGGCAUGAGGAGAAUGAGUAAUUUUUUUUAAGAUUUUAUUUAUUUAUUCAUGAGAGUGAGAGAGAGAGUGAGAGUGAGAGAGGCAGAGACACAGGUAGAGGGAGAAGCAGGCUCCACGCAGGGAGCCCGACGUGGGACUGGAUCCUGGGUCUCCAGGAUCACACCCCAGGCGGAAGGUGGCGCUAAACCGCUAGACCACCGGGGCUGCCUGAGAACGAGUAAUGUGUCCAAGAUUAGAAUACCUAGUUCAUGGCAGGAUUAGAAUUUAAUCCUUAAUUUGACUCCAAAAUCAAUGUACUUAAUUGCUAAAAUUAUACUCCAUUCUUUACCUCCAAAACCUUGGCCUCUACCUUAAACUUGGGAGUUCAAAGCCCUUCUUAGAUGUGGACAUGGUGUCCACUGCUUGCUUGCUUGCUUUCUUUCUUUCUUUCUUUCUUUCUUUCUUUCUUUCUUUCUUUCUAAGAGUUUAUUUAUUCAUGAGAGAGAGAGAGGCAGAGACAUAGGCAGAGGGAGGAGUGGGCUCCCCAUGCGGAGCCCGAUGCAGGAUGUGAGCCCAGGACCCCGGGAUCACCUGAGCCGAAGGCAGACAUUCAACCACUGAGCCACCCAGGCAUCCCUGCUAUCUUUGUAGUAGACAAAUUUGGGGCAUUUACUCACCAGUUAGUGUCAAUAUUACAUUUAGGUCUCAGAAUUGCACCUAGCUACAGAAGAUGGCCCUGGGAAGCCAUGUUUAUUCUAUUUGAAUCUAUUCCCUUGACCACAUUCGAUUGGACCAGGGUAGACACCUAACUCAAAACUGCUGCCUCCUGGAAGCAGAAACUGGCCCUUAGCCUGUGGCCAGAGGGAAGGUAUAAAUUUUCAAUAUCUAGGUGGUUUGCAGGUUCACUGUGGGGAGGAGGGUGUGGAAUGGAGGGGAAGCCAGUGGAAAUAAAUGGAACUGAUGAUCUGGACAGGGCCUGAGGCCUAGAUGCAAAUCCAGGGUAAAGUGUUUUAGAUGGAGGAUGGGGAGCAAGUACUUCCACCCUGACCCAUAGUUCGUGGGUCUGUGGUCACAUAUACAGUGGGUGAGAGCCAGUGGGAGGGAUGAGGGGUUGGGAGUAAGUGAAGUAUUGGAAGAGUGAGGAGUGGGUAUGGAGAAUUGAGAAGAGCACAAAGAGGCAGAGGUAAGGGAGGGACAGAAAAAUUUGAUAGUUUCCCAUUUCCUGCCUUGUCUCUCCCUCUGGCCUACUGUCAUUCCUAUCUUGGGGUCCAGAUACCUAGACCUCCAUCUGAUAAGUUUCCUUUUUCUAAGUUUAAGUAGGUUUUGCUCAUUUUCAGUUAAAAAGAGUACUGUCUAAAAGACACGUCUACAAAUUUUAUAACCUCCACAGUGAUUAAAUUUUUAAAUCAUAGAAAAUUCAGAGGAAUAUUUAAAUAGAAAGAAAGAUCCAAAAUUAUGUUAACAGACUGAAAUCAUGUUAAUGGACUCUAGGUAAUAAAAUAUGCAUGGAAUUUAAUAAAACUAAAUGUAAACAUUUACCUU
Canis lupus familiaris (dog) is the source of this 3065-nucleotide long non-coding RNA. RefSeq lists it as uncharacterized. The record is from RefSeq and is a predicted model, not a curated record. The transcript has 2 exons. Lineage: Eukaryota; Metazoa; Chordata; Mammalia; Carnivora; Canidae.